Molecule: ribosomal RNA, 1448 nt
Filed under: uncultured Bacteroidota bacterium
Lineage: Bacteria; Pseudomonadati; Bacteroidota
Description: bacterial SSU rRNA
Rfam family: Bacterial small subunit ribosomal RNA
Source: RNAcentral
GAUGAACGCUAGCGGCAGGCUUAACACAUGCAAGUCGAGGGGCAUCAUAACUAGCAAUAGUUGAUGGCGACCGGCGGACGGGUGCGUAACACGUAUGCAACCUACCAAUAACAAAGGGAUAGUCAGGAGAAAUUCUGAAUAAUACCAUAUAAUAUCAAGCGAGGGCAUCUAAGAUUGAUCAAAGAUUUAUCGGUUAUUGAUGGGCAUGCGUACCAUUAGCUAGUUGGUAAGGUAACGGCUUACCAAGGCGAUGAUGGUUAGGGGCUCUGAGAGGAUAGUCCCCCACACUGGUACUGAGACACGGACCAGACUCCUACGGGAGGCAGCAGUGAGGAAUAUUGGGCAAUGGACGGAAGUCUGACCCAGCCAUGCCGCGUGCAGGAAGACGGCCUUAUGGGUUGUAAACUGCUUUUGUAUGGGUGAAAAAGGGUGUUCGAGUAACACCGUAUUGCUUUGACCAUACGAAUAAGUAUCGGCUAACUCCGUGCCAGCAGCCGCGGUAAUACGGAGGAUGCGAGCGUUAUCCGGAUUUAUUGGGUUUAAAGGGUGCGCAGGCGGACUAAUAAGUCUACGGUGAAAUACAUGGGCUCAACCGAUGCAGUGCCGUAGAUACUGUUAGACUGGAGUAUAACAGACGUAGGCGGAAUGUAGCAUGUAGCGGUGAAAUGCAUAGAGAUGCUACAGAACCCCGAUAGCGAAGGCAGCUUACGAUAUUAUAACUGACGCUCAUGCACGAAAGCGUGGGGAUCAAACAGGAUUAGAUACCCUGGUAGUCCACGCUGUAAACGAUGAUAACUGGCUUUUUGUCUGUAAGGAUGAGAGGCUGAGAGAAAUCAAUAAGUUAUCCACCUGGGGAGUACGACGGCAACGUUGAAACUCAAAGGAAUUGACGGGGGCCCGCACAAGCGGAGGAGCAUGUGGUUUAAUUCGAUGAUACGCGAGGAACCUUACCCGGGCUUAAAUGGGAAUUGACGUAUAAGGAAACUUAUAUUUCGUAAGACAAUUUUCAAGGUGCUGCAUGGUUGUCGUCAGCUCGUGCCGUGAGGUGUCGGGUUAAGUCCCAUAACGAGCGCAACCCACAUAUUUAGUUACCAGCACGUAUUGGUGGGGACUCUAAAUAGACUGCCUACGCAAGUAGAGAGGAAGGUGUGGAUGACGUCAAAUCAGCACGGCCCUUACGUCCGGGGCUACACACGUGCUACAAUGGUAGAGACAGAGGGCAGCGAGCAGGUGACUGUUAGCGAAUCUCAGAAACUCUAUCUCAGUCCGGAUCGGAGUCUGCAACUCGACUCCGUGAAGUUGGAUUCGCUAGUAAUCGCGCAUCAGCCAUGGCGCGGUGAAUACGUUCCCGGGCCUUGUACACACCGCCCGUCAAGCCAUGGGAGCUGGGGGUACCUGAAGUACGUUACCGAGAGGAUCGUCCUAGGGUAAAACCGGUGACUGGGGCU